AUGAGCAUGGAGGUGCUACACGAUACAACAGGGAAGAAGGAAGCGGUUGUGUACUAUAUGGACACCCCUUUACCAUAUGCAAUUGAAGAGAAUUUCGGGGGAUGCUUCUUUGAAGAUGAUGUUGAUCUUGCACAAGUUCUUCAAGAUCAGGAAAUAGUGUAUCAAUUAAUCCAAGGAAAUGAUGGAAGUGGUUCAUCUAGGACUCAUUCAGAUCCUAGUUCUAGUUGUGGCCAUCCACGAAAAUCGAGUAGGCGAAGAUUAAAAAGAGGCGCAAAUUAUGAGUCACAGCUAGCUGUCGAUGAAGCUUUAGCUAGAGACUUGCAGGCGAUGGAGGACCAAAUUGCUAGGGCAACGAUAGAUGACAAGAAGAGAAAAGAAGGAAGAAAGCCUGUAAGUUCUUCAACAUCCAACAAUGGCAAUACUUCUGUUAGCAGAUCUUCUCAGGUAUUAACGGAGGAUGGAGUUGAUCCUGAUAAUAUGACUUAUGAGGAACUACAACAAUUAGGGGAAACUAUUGGGACUGAAAGUAAAGGGUUGCCAGAAGAUGUGAUAGCUCUCCUUAAGUCUUCAACAUACAAAAUUGGGAUAUUCUCAAGAAAGGAAAAACAUGAUGAAUGUGUCAUAUGCUGUAUGGCUUACAAGAACCGCGAUAAGCUGACUACAUUGCCCUGUCAGCAUCAGUACCAUCGAACUUGUGUUGCCAAAUGGUUGAAGAUCAAUAAGGUAUGCCCCGUUUGCAACAAGGAGGUUUUUGGGUCGUGA
RNAcentral lists this ribosomal RNA (762 nucleotides) under Triticum aestivum (bread wheat). RNAcentral's name for it is "partial small subunit ribosomal RNA". Lineage: Eukaryota; Viridiplantae; Streptophyta; Magnoliopsida; Poales; Poaceae. The record is from RNAcentral.